GCCAGCCCAACCUCCCCUCCUCACCCUACCUCACCUUCUUUUUCAAUCCCUUGCUGCAGGUCACUCAUCACGCGGAUGGGUCGAAGCGCUGGAUCUCGGGACAGGGCGGCGCGGAGGCCUUCCUCCCAUAGGAUUCCGAGCUCGACGAGCCUAGCAGCUGUCGUCCUUGCCCCGCUCGAGGAGGAGGGGCGCACCUAGCAGGCCACCAAUGGCCUGUUCUGCUCCUCGUCUUCCUCCACUGCCUGAACCACCACGCAUUCAACAGCGGGCUGCUGCAGCAUCGACCGGAAGCAAACAAAAGGACGACACUCACAAGGAAUGAAGAAGCCAGCUAUCCUUGUCAACUUGAUGUUUUAGCUUUCAUUUUGUACAACUCAUCUCCCAUACUUACAUCUUUUAGUUGUCCAUUUGUGAACCUGAUGUAUGGUGUCUUGGUGGUUAUGUUUCUAACAAACUAAAGUGCAUAUAUGUGAUAUAAUUAGUUAAUGGAAUAAAAGCUGAUUGGUGCACAUAAUGUGAACCUGAUA
Non-coding RNA from Triticum urartu, 527 nucleotides. NCBI's taxonomy places the organism in Eukaryota, Viridiplantae, Streptophyta, Magnoliopsida, Poales, Poaceae. The record is from RefSeq and is a predicted model, not a curated record.